Molecule: transfer RNA, 74 nt
Filed under: Ereboglobus luteus
Lineage: Bacteria; Pseudomonadati; Verrucomicrobiota; Opitutia; Opitutales; Opitutaceae
Description: tRNA-Gln
Rfam family: tRNA
About the family: Transfer RNA (tRNA) molecules are approximately 80 nucleotides in length. Their secondary structure includes four short double-helical elements and three loops (D, anti-codon, and T loops).
Source: RNAcentral
UGCGGUGUCGUCUAACAGCAGGACCACGGACUUUGAAUCCGGAAAUGGAAGUGCGAGUCUUCCCGCCGCAGCCA